UAUUAUUCUAAAUAUAAUAAAAUCAACUUUAGUUAGUAAUAGAUAUUUACUUAAAAUCUAAAAAAUUUGGCGGUAAUUUAAUCUUUUCAGAGGAACUUGUUUUUUAAUCGAUAAACCGCGAAUUAUCUUACUUGUUAAAGUAUAGAAUGCUAGUUUGUAUACCAUCAUUAUCAGGUAAUUUUUAAAAAAUAAAUUAUCGGGGGUAAGUAAUUUUAAUAAAAUUAGAUCAUGGUGCAGCUGAUAAAUAAGUUAAAAUGAGUUACAAUAAACUAUUUUAUAACGGAUAGGUAAAAGAAUUUUUAUUUAUAAGGAGGAUUUGGUUGUAUUUUGAGUUUAAUAUGCUUAUAAGAUGAUAGCUCUAAAUUAUGUACAUAU
This 375-nucleotide ribosomal RNA is filed under the name Arcotheres cf. palaensis. RNAcentral's name for it is "partial small subunit ribosomal RNA". Lineage: Eukaryota; Metazoa; Arthropoda; Malacostraca; Decapoda; Pinnotheridae. The record is from RNAcentral.